This is a non-coding RNA of Camellia sinensis, 367 nucleotides long. The record is from RefSeq and is a predicted model, not a curated record. NCBI's taxonomy places the organism in Eukaryota, Viridiplantae, Streptophyta, Magnoliopsida, Ericales, Theaceae.
ACCGUGAGAGAGAGGGAAGGAAGAAGAGGAAAGCUCCUCUAAUCAACACUCAUGGGGUUUUGAAGAUGCUUGAAGGGGGUGAAGAAAGAAAAAGAAGAUCAUCCAUGGGAAGCUUGGGAGGAAUUGGAGAAAGCUAGGAGAAAGACAAGGAUGGAACUAAGGUCGAGACGAGAACAUCGUCCUAUUACCACCGGGAACUGAUCACUGUGAGUAGUAGUACAAAAAUGUACAUUUUAUCUACUGUUGAUAAUUAUUGUCACUAAUGUUUUGUUCCUUGUAAGUGUUAUAAGAACAUUUAUGCCAAUUGGAAAGCAAUGUGAACUGCUGAAAGAUUCGCGUACGUUGGUAACCAACCAAGUGGUCAAUC